CCUACGGGGGGCUGCAGUGGGGAAUAUUGGACAAUGGGGGGAACCCUGAUCCAGCCAUGCCGCGUGUGUGAAGAAGGCCCUCGGGUUGUAAAGCACUUUCAGUGAGGAAGAACGCCUGGUGGUUAAUACCCAUCAGGAAAGACAUCACUCACAGAAGAAGCACCGGCUAACUCCGUGCCAGCAGCCGCGGUAAUACGGAGGGUGCGAGCGUUAAUCGGAAUUACUGGGCGUAAAGCGCGCGUAGGUGGCUUGAUAAGCCGGUUGUGAAAGCCCCGGGCUUAACCUGGGAACGGCAUCCGGAACUGUCAAGCUAGAGUGCAGGAGAGGAAGGUAGAAUUCCCGGUGUAGCGGUGAAAUGCGUAGAGAUCGGGAGGAAUACCAGUGGCGAAGGCGGCCUUCUGGACUGACACUGACACUGAGGUGCGAAAGCGUGGGUAGCAAACAGGAUUAGAUACCCCAGUAGUC
Molecule: ribosomal RNA, 465 nt
Filed under: Vreelandella stevensii
Lineage: Bacteria; Pseudomonadati; Pseudomonadota; Gammaproteobacteria; Oceanospirillales; Halomonadaceae
Description: partial 16S ribosomal RNA
Rfam family: Bacterial small subunit ribosomal RNA
Source: RNAcentral